Molecule: ribosomal RNA, 466 nt
Filed under: uncultured bacterium
Lineage: Bacteria
Description: partial 16S ribosomal RNA
Rfam family: Bacterial small subunit ribosomal RNA
Source: RNAcentral
GAUGAACGCUGGCGGCGUGCCUAACACAUGCAAGUCGAACGAGCGAGAGCCGCCUUGUUUUCUCGAGUGACUGGCGAAUGGGUGAGUAACCCGCGCGGGACCAGUCUCAAAGAGGGGGUCAACAGUUGGGAACCACUGCUAAUACACCAUAUGUCGACGAACGCGGAUUGGGUAGAGGGCUAACGAGCAAUCCGCUUUGAGUGGGCCGUUCGUCCGAUUAGCUUGUUAGUGAUGUAAACGGCCACCAACGCGACGAUCGGUAGACGGACUGAGAGAGUGAGCAGACACAUUGAGACUAGGACACGGCCCGGACUCCUACGCGAGGCGGCAGAGGGUGAUAUAGCACAAUGGGGGAAACCAUGAUGCAGCGAGGCCGCGUGGAGGAAGAAGGACUGCAGGUAGUAAACUUCUGUUGUAGAGGAAGAUAAUGACGGUACUGUACGAGUAAGCGACGGCUAACUACGUG